This is a long non-coding RNA of Salvelinus fontinalis (brook trout), 1150 nucleotides long. RefSeq lists it as uncharacterized. The transcript has 2 exons. The record is from RefSeq and is a predicted model, not a curated record. Lineage: Eukaryota; Metazoa; Chordata; Actinopteri; Salmoniformes; Salmonidae.
CCCCCCCCCCCGGAAAUGAAUAUCAAUAUCAUAUGCCAUAGAGAAUAUAUAUUCGUAGAAUUAAUCAAUGAAUUAAUAGGAUGUCCAAUUACAAAAGCAUAUUUUGACCAUUGGUUAAUUGUGUAAAUAAUCCUCUUAAGAAAACCAAUGGUCCAAACUUUAUGUCUCUAUCAUAAUCAGUUCAAAAGCUAUUGGAGUUUUUACCUUUGUAGGAUGGCAAAUAUAAGGUGACUAAAUCAAGGGUCCGCGGGCACCUAGGGGUCUACAGAGGUACUGCAGGGGGUCUGCACAUUAUUUUAUUUUUAAAGUGGAUUUAUUUAUUUAUUAUUUCAAUGUUUUUAUGAAUAUACUUUGAUAUUCCUGUUUAUUUAAAUCACUGAACUAAAAUACAUUUUAUUUGGUCUUUCAUGUUACAUCAGAUGUGAGUUGUUUUUAUGUUUUUAUUUAUUUAACUAGGCAAGUCAGUUAAGAACAAAUUCUUAUUUACAAUGACAGCCUACCGCGGCCAAACCCGGACGACGGUGAGCCAAUUGUGCACUGCCCUAUGGGACUCACAAUCACGGCCAGAUGUGAUGCAGCCUGGAUUCGAACCAAGAACUGCAGUGAUACCUCUUAGACUGAGAUGCAGUGCCUUAGACCGCUGCGCCACUCGGGAUCAAGGCCAAAAGUAUGUUGACACCCCUUCAAGCUAGUGGAUUCGGGCCUACCAGCCCAGACCUAGCUACAGGACCACGAGAACGCUUGCCGCUGAAGACUUCACAGAGCUGAACCAAACAUACAGCCAGGCAACAACCCAUACUGCAGGCCUACUGUUCCAUAAAGAAGUCAGCCAGCGACACUGAAAACACACUGAAAACUAUCACGCCCUGACCUUAGAGAGCCUUUUUAUUUCUCUAUUUUGUUAGGUCAGGGUGUGAUUAGGGUGGGAAUUCUAUUUUUUCGUUUUCUAUGUUGGCCUGGUAUGGUUCCCAAUCAGAGGCAGCUGUCUAUCGUUGUCUCUGAUUGGGGAUCAUAUUUAGGCAGCCUUUUUCCCACCUGUUUGUGGGAUCUUGUUUUUGUGUAGUGCCUGUGAGCACUCCAUUUCUUCACAUUUCGUUUGUUUCUUUAUUGUUUUCUGGGAGUUUCAUUGAAAUAAACAUGUGGAACUCUA